Molecule: ribosomal RNA, 421 nt
Filed under: uncultured bacterium
Lineage: Bacteria
Description: bacterial SSU rRNA
Rfam family: Bacterial small subunit ribosomal RNA
Source: RNAcentral
GAGGAAUAUUGGUCAAUGGGCGGAAGCCUGAACCAGCCAUGCCGCGUGCGGGAAGGAGGCCCUAUGGGCUGUGAACCGCUUUUGCCUGGGGGCAAUAAGGGCGUCGCGCACGUCCGAUGAGAGUACCAGGCGAAUAAGCAUCGGCUAACUCCGUGCCAGCAGCCGCGGUAAUACGGGGGAUGCGAGCGUUAUCCGGAUUCAUUGGGUUUAAAGGGUGCGUAGGCUGUGCGUCAAGGCGGGGGUGAAAUUCCGGUGCUCAACACCGGGGCUGCCCUGGAUACUGUCGCGCUGGAGUGCGGAUGCCGCCGGAGGAAUGAGUGGUGUAGCGGUGAAAUGCUUAGAUAUCACUCAGAACACCGAUUGCGAAGGCAUCUGGCGAAUCCGUAACUGACGCUGAGGCACGAAAGCGUGGGGAUAGAAC